AUACGGAGGGUGCAAGCGUUAAUCGGAAUCACUGGGCGUAAAGCGUGCGUAGGCGGCCUGCCAAGUCAGGUGUGAAAGCCCUCGGCUCAACCGGGGAAUUGCACUUGAAACUGGUAGGCUGGAGUCUCGGAGAGGGUGGCGGAAUUCCCGGUGUAGGAGUGAAAUCCGUAGAUAUCGGGAGGAACACCAGUGGCGAAGGCGGCCACCUGGACGAUGACUGACGCUGAGGUACGAAAGCGUGGGGAGCAAACAGGAUUAGAUACCCUGGUAGUCCACGCUGUAAACGAUGGAUGUUAGGUGUCGGGUAGCAAUAUUCGGUGCCGUAGUUAACGCGUUAAACAUCCCGCCUGGGGAGUACGGUCGCAAGGCUGAA
RNAcentral lists this ribosomal RNA (373 nucleotides) under uncultured bacterium. RNAcentral's name for it is "bacterial SSU rRNA". It matches the Rfam family "Bacterial small subunit ribosomal RNA", at positions 523 to 898 of the family's 1533-position model. The record is from RNAcentral.